RNAcentral lists this small nuclear RNA (104 nucleotides) under Cervus elaphus hippelaphus. Lineage: Eukaryota; Metazoa; Chordata; Mammalia; Artiodactyla; Cervidae. The record is from RNAcentral.
GUGCUCGCUUCGGCAGCACAUAUACUGGGAUUGGAACGAUACAGAGAAGAUUAGCAUGGCCCCUGCACAAGGAUGACACGCAAAUUUGUGAGGCGUUCCAUAUU